UUCGGACCAGCAACGUGAAAACAAAUUGAGCAACAUACAACAUUCACCUGCUCCAUACAUUCUACAUAUUCAUUCUAAUAUAAUCAUCAUAUUCAUCAUCUACAUUCUACACCAUUCAUCUACUCUAAUCAGCCAUUUUCUACACAUUCAUCUACAUCAUCCACAUCCUAAACACAUUCCCAUCCACAUUCUAAACCAUCAUCCUAAACACAUUCAUCUUCACCGUCCACAUCCUAAACAUUCAUCUACACCAUCCACAUCCUAAACAUUCAUCUAAUCUAAUCAUCCACAUUCAUCUACACCAUCCUAAACAUUCAUCUACACCUUCCUAAACAUUCACCUAAUCUAAUCAUCAACAUUCAUCUAAUCUAAUCAUCCACAUCACAUCCUAAACAUUCAUCUAAUCUAAUCAUCCACACCCUAAACAUUCACUACACAUACAGCUUUUACCAGCCGUCAUAACUACACAUACAUUUUACCAUCACAUAUAUAGCUUACAAGCAAGCAUUUAUCAUUCAUCCUACAAAGUAAGGCACAUUCCCAAGAUUCUCUGUUCCUUCACAUCCGAUCUUUUUUUUUUCCGUCUGUAGUUUCUCUCAAAAGGACAUGCACUUGUUAACUCACUCUUUUUGAAUAUGUGUUCAU
RNAcentral lists this long non-coding RNA (645 nucleotides) under Capsella grandiflora. RNAcentral's name for it is "long non-coding RNA (CGRA_LNC000918)". The record is from RNAcentral. Lineage: Eukaryota; Viridiplantae; Streptophyta; Magnoliopsida; Brassicales; Brassicaceae.